Molecule: ribosomal RNA, 467 nt
Filed under: uncultured bacterium
Lineage: Bacteria
Description: partial 16S ribosomal RNA
Rfam family: Bacterial small subunit ribosomal RNA
Source: RNAcentral
GACGAACGCUGGCGGCGUGCUUAACACAUGCCAGUCGAACGGAAAGGCCCUGCUCUUGUGGGGUGCUCGAGUGGCGAACGGGUGAGUAACACGUGAGUAACCUGCCCUUGACUUUGGGAUAUCUUCAGGAAACUGGGGCUAAUACCGCAUAGGAGCUCCUGAUGCACGGUGGGGGUUGGAAAGUCUCGGCGGUUGGGGAUGGACUCGCGGCUUAUCAGCUUGUUGGUGGGGUAGUGGCUUACCAAGGCUUGGACGGGUAGCCAGCCUGGGAGGGAGACCGGCUCCAGUGGGCCUGAGGAACGCCCCAGACGGCAACGGGAGGCAUGAGCGGCGGCUUUUGCCCCAGGGGCGGCACCCGGGUGCAGCAACGCCGCGUGGGAGAUCACGGCCUUCGGGUUGUAAACCCCUUUUCCCUGUCCCGGAGCGUGCGUGACGGUACUGGGAAAAAAAGCACCGGCUAACUCCGU